RNAcentral lists this ribosomal RNA (777 nucleotides) under uncultured Neocallimastigales. RNAcentral's name for it is "partial large subunit ribosomal RNA". It matches the Rfam family "Eukaryotic large subunit ribosomal RNA", at positions 18 to 616 of the family's 3401-position model. Lineage: Eukaryota; Fungi; Neocallimastigomycota; Neocallimastigomycetes; Neocallimastigales. The record is from RNAcentral.
UCAGACGAUGCGUCAUGCAUAUCAAUAAGCGGAGGAAAAGAAACUAACAAGGAUUCCCCUAGUAACGGCGAGUGAAGCGGGAAGAGCUCAAAUUUGAAAUCUUAAAGGGUUUCCCUUUACGAAUUGUAGUUUAAAGAAGUGUUUUCUGUUGAGGUUUUGGUAAAAGUUCUUUGGAAUAGGACAUCAUAGAGGGUGAGAAUCCCGUAUUUGACCUUUACUUUCAACUUUGUGAUACACUUUCAAAGAGUCGGAUUGUUUGGGAAUGCAGUCCAAAAUGGGCUGGUAAAUUUCAUCUAAAGCUAAAUAUUGGCGAGAGACCGAUAGUGAACAAGUACCGUGAGGGAAAGAUGAAAAGAACUUUGAAAAGAGAGUUAAACAGUACGUGAAAUUGUCAAAAGGGAAGCGUUUGACACCAGUGUUGUUUUUCUGAAAAUCAAUUAAAGAACUGUUUAUGCUAAGUUGUUUAGACUUUAUCAGCUAACUGUUUAGUUUUGAGCUUUUCUUUAAUGCACUUUUCAGUUAACAAGUCAACAUCAAUUUCUUUUGCUGUAAAAAAGCUUGAGGAAGGGUGGCUUGAGAUUCGUCUUAAGUGUUUAUAGCCUCUUGCCUAUGCAGUCGGAGAGAUUGAGGUCUGCAGCGUAGAUCCUUCGGGGCUAAAUGCAUUUGUGCUAAGUUAUAACAUUUUAUAGACAACUUGUUGACUAUGAUUUGUCUUGUAGCUUACUCGCUUAUGUUACUUUUACCUACGCUUAGGAUGUUGAUCGCAUGUCUCUCUCU